AUGUUCUUAUCAAUGUGUCUCAAUCCACACUAUAUCCUACUUGUUGCUAACUGAAAGGACAAAGCAUUUGACUUUUGGAUUUUAUAUGGUUGAUGGUACAUCAGGUUGGGACAUAGCAUAUUUUUCUACACUAGACGCACCUACACCCAUUGAACAUGCUCUAAUUAAUGCCAUAUAUGCUCUAUAGUAGUCAUAUAGAUAAAGUACAUGCAAUAAGUAAUUUAUGGUUAAGUCAUUAUUUUUACAUCCUUCCCAUGUUUAUGAGGUUCAACACACUCAAUGAUACCAUAUGUUGAUAAACUAUAUUUUCGUUCUCCUUUUCAUUUGUUUAUUGGGUUUUACAAUUGAAAUCCUUAUUAAGAGCGGUCAACUUUCCAUAUUUCAAAUAUAGAACUAGAUGAUCAAAUUUCUAUUUGAACUUACCUCCAUAAACCUAGGCAGCAAGAAAAGUUUGAGUGUUAUAGUUAGUUUAUUGUAUUCUCUGUUUUGUCAAUUAGCAGCUACACGAAAAAGAGGUAAAUAGUUGAUACAAAUGAGACUGCAUAUUUUCUAAUUGACUUUUGUAAAAUCUAGAAUGUGGCAAUAUUAACGUUGACGGUGUAGGUGUGCAUAUAUACUAAUACAAGUUUGGGCAUGUACAGGAAGUCCUUGAUAUUGGUUUGCACGAAACAUUUGCAACAUGAAGAUGCCAAGAAUUGGAAGCUUAUAUCUAUGGAUACACUUCCAAUACAAAAUAAAUACAUUUAAGAGUGGCAGGAUGUUUUGCAUAGAGUUCAUUAGCCAUGGAGACCAUGAUUCAAUAGUCAAAUAUGAGCAGUUGGGUUAAGUGGGUUAAUUCUGAUCCACCUACAGCCAUAUUGCACCUGGAGGUGCCGUGUUGGGAACUUAAGGAAGAAGAAUAAAAUUUGAAGUUGACUUGGAAUAAAUGCCCAUAUCAUGAUCAUCAUGUGGUUCUUUUGUGAUUUGCUUGUUGUGAGCAGUCCUCUAAUCAAGGGCAGGGUUAGGUGCAAUGCAGCAGUUUGUUCUCAUGAUCAUGUUUUGGCAGAUUACUUUUGCUAUGUCAAGAUUGGUAGGUUCCUGUCAUGGUUGAAGGAUGUUGCAAAUGAAAAUCUAAGUGGCAUGGUGCUUGUUUUAUUUGUGAAUCUAGAGAUUGGUACAAGGUUCUUGCUGGUUGUUGGCACUGGCUUACUACCAGUUCUAUUAGUCCUUCCAUUAAGGAGGCCAUUUAAUAUCUGGUGCAAAGAGGGUGCUGGUAAUUUUGGUCUUGACAAGUAGCAGAGCUGUAUCAAAAAUAAUUCUCAGGAAGGGUUGGACUCAAAGAACGUUCAUUAGAAGCAUCAGCAGCAGCAGGAAAAGUUUUUGCAUCAAACAGGAGGAUAGGAAGUUUUCUCUUGAGCAGCAGUGACACAAAGAUGAAAGCUUGAUUGCUUGUAGUUUUUAUUUCCCCUGGUUUUGGUUGCAAUUUUUAAAGAUUAUUUUACUUCUUUGAUAUGUUGACAGUAGAUUUACUUCUUUGGUGUUUGGUUGGCUCUAAAGAUAUUUAUAGUCUUUGUUGUAUUGCAUGUUUCUUUUAAUAAUAAUUACUCCAAAGAAA
This is a long non-coding RNA of Quercus lobata, 1594 nucleotides long. RefSeq lists it as uncharacterized. The record is from RefSeq and is a predicted model, not a curated record. The transcript is spliced from 4 exons. Lineage: Eukaryota; Viridiplantae; Streptophyta; Magnoliopsida; Fagales; Fagaceae.